Molecule: ribosomal RNA, 430 nt
Filed under: uncultured bacterium
Lineage: Bacteria
Description: bacterial SSU rRNA
Rfam family: Bacterial small subunit ribosomal RNA
Source: RNAcentral
UGGGGAAUUUUGCGCAAUGGGCGAAAGCCUGACGCAGCAACGCCGCGUGAGUGAUGAAGGCUUUCGGGUCGUAAAGCUCUGUCAGUGGGAAAGAAGUGUAUUGUGGCUAAUAUCCACGAUACUUGACGGUACCCACAAAGGAAGCACCGGCUAACUCCGUGCCAGCAGCCGCGGUAAUACGGGGGGUGCAAGCGUUGUUCGGAUUUAUUGGGCGUAAAGCGCGUGUAGGCGGUUUGUUAAGUCUGAUGUGAAAGCCCUGGGCUCAACCCAGGAAGUGCAUUGGAAACUGGCAGACUUGAAUACGGGAGAGGGUAGUGGAAUUCCUGGUGUAGGAGUGAAAUCCGUAGAUAUCAGGAGGAACACCGGUGGCGAAGGCGGCUGCCUGGACCGAUAUUGACGCUGAGACGCGAAAGCGUGGGUAGCAAACAGG